AAGUCGUAACAAGGUUUCCGUAGGUGAACCUGCGGAAGGAUCAUUAAACACAAAAAUGGUUUUACCCAAAACCAUUAUAAACCCGUGCACCCGUUUUGUUUGUACAAGUGGCCGGCAGCUUGCUGCCGGCUGCGGGGUUUUAUAGGGCUCUCUGCACACCGCGGAGAGUACCGGAACCCACUGUCGAACCAUUAACCCUUUGUAACCAAUUGUACUAACACACUCGAGCCUUUGAAAAAAGGACUCUAGCAAAAUUUUCGAACAACUCUUAGCAACGGAUAUCUAGGCUCUC
Molecule: unclassified non-coding RNA, 292 nt
Filed under: fungal sp.
Lineage: Eukaryota; Fungi
Description: partial internal transcribed spacer region
Rfam family: Eukaryotic small subunit ribosomal RNA (bases 1-46)
Source: RNAcentral